CCAUAUCUUGUAUAUUUUUGUGUUGAAUGGCAGUAGAAGUUUUAAUUGGGGGGUGGUAAACAGAACUCUGUCUAGCUCAAAGUUUGAAGCUAAAGAGGUAGGUUAUGAAAGUUUAAGGAGUUGCCGACAUGAUGAAAGUGACAAGUUUCAAUGUGAUUGAAAUAUAUCAAAUUGGAGGGGGCAGGACUGGGGUCUAGAAAAAGGAUGAAGAUUGCAACGCCUUGAAGUUGGACCGCUGGGGAUAAAGAAUUGCGAUAAACUUUCCUCACCACUUGCUGCUCGACUUGAACAGGGGCUUGCAAUUAAAGCUUCCAGCUUACUUCAAUUACCUCAAUUCUUUGGCUAGUCCCUGGCCAAUGAACAUGAUCUAUAGGUGCUUUCAAGAUCAAAGCAGCAGAUCAUUAGACUCUGCCAACUUUGCUUCCAAUUUCAUUGGAUUCUUUCUUUUUGGUCAUCAGAUCGCCUCAGAUGUUACAUUCUGGUUGUAUUUUUGCAUACCCAUAUCGUUUUGACAUUUACAUGAUGUUCACUAAAGAUGCGAGUGGCAAACAUGUGACCUUAAUCAUGAUAAGCUUUUAUGAUUCUUUAGGGGCAUGAAAUCCAGGGGUUUGAAUGGAUAUAUAGCAUUUGUUUGUUCUC
This is a long non-coding RNA of Cynara cardunculus var. scolymus (artichoke), 639 nucleotides long. RefSeq lists it as uncharacterized. Lineage: Eukaryota; Viridiplantae; Streptophyta; Magnoliopsida; Asterales; Asteraceae. The record is from RefSeq and is a predicted model, not a curated record. The transcript is spliced from 2 exons.